GACGAACCGUACGAACGUUAUUCGGAAUCACUGGGCUUAAAGGGUGCGUAGGCGGCGCGACAAGUUGGGUGUGAAAUCCCUCGGCUCAACCGAGGAACUGCGCCCAAAACUGUCGUGCUCGAGGGAGACAGAGGUGAGCGGAACUUAGGGUGGAGCGGUGAAAUGCGUUGAUAUCCUAAGGAACACCGGUGGCGAAAGCGGCUCACUGGGUCUCUUCUGACGCUGAGGCACGAAAGCUAGGGUAGCGAACGGGG
Molecule: ribosomal RNA, 254 nt
Filed under: uncultured bacterium
Lineage: Bacteria
Description: partial 16S ribosomal RNA
Rfam family: Bacterial small subunit ribosomal RNA
Source: RNAcentral